This is a long non-coding RNA of Cyprinus carpio carpio, 487 nucleotides long. The record is from Ensembl. NCBI's taxonomy places the organism in Eukaryota, Metazoa, Chordata, Actinopteri, Cypriniformes, Cyprinidae.
GCAUCAUAAGCAACCAGCCAUGGCUCAUUCUGUUUUUGCAUGCAGAGGUGGUCAGGUUAUCAUCCAGGCAAAUUAGAGGCGGGUUAGGUGCUAAAGACCAGAGGAGUGAUGAGAAUCAGGAGAGUAGGAGUAUAAAAGGAAGUAGUGGACAGACUUCCUGAGAACAUCAGACGCCAUCUUCCUCCACUCUUCCCCAGCGCGAUGAGUGACGUGACGUCUGGCGGCUCCCUGACAGUGCAGAGGCCAAGAAGUUAACCGCCAUGUUGUGCUUCGGGAACAAAAGCUGAACGAGACCAGAAGAUGGAUGACACGGUCUAAGGUUAAAGUACAAACAGUCGUGAUAAAUCAGAUACCGACUGCAGAGAGAAAGCAGUUCAAUCCUCAGGCAUGUAGUUGCAGAAAUUGAUACAAAUUGGGGUGCUUAUAAACUGGUUUCACUUCAGGAUCCUAGUUUUAAACUGGAGCAAGCCUUGACCCAAAGCAGAGC